CACUCCUGCCUCCCAGGUCUGACGGGGACUCCGGCUCGGAGCUGGGCCCCCGAGGCCGCCAGGGAGGUGACUGCGGGCGACGCCGGGAUUUUGGUUUGGGUAACUGGGUAGAUGGGGGCGCCAUUAUCGCGCUUCUCUUGCAGGGGGCCGGUGAAGGUUAUACGAGAGGCUCCAUCUGUCCUUAUUGAAAGUGCUCUUAACGCAGGGACCAGCCGUCUUGCUGACGCCUGGGCCACCGAGCACAGGGACAGGACGGGGUUGCUGGAGGUGCAAGCUGGGAGAAAGCAGAGAACUGACUCCAUGCAGAGUUGGGAUUAAGAGCCCCUGGACAAGGGGCCGAGGCAGUGAAGGACGUCCAUCACUCAUCUGCCACUAUCCUCCUCACAUUUAAUCCUCACAACACCCCUGUGAGGUUUAUCCGCUUCACCUGUUGCUGGGGAACACUGCUCUCCGGGGGACUUGGGGGACGACACUGUAAACAUGACUUCCUGGCCUGAUGGUGGCAGGGCUGUGUGUGCGAGUCACUGUCCAGGGACAGCACUGAGGCAAAAUGUCCACCAGCUGCGGGAUGGAUAAACACAUGUGGUCCAUGCAGGGGAAUAUUAUUCAGCCAUGAAAAAGAACAAAGCAGGGACACACACCACAUGGACAAACCCAGCAAACGUUACCGCGAGGGAAAUCACCUAGACACAGAAGGCCACUUGUCCGAUGACGCCAUUUAUAUGGAAUGUACAGAAUGGGAAACAUCCAUGGACAGAAAGUAGACUACUGGGGGUCAUCUAGCGCUGAGGAAGUUGGGGGGAACGGGAGGGUGACAGCUGAGGGGUGUGUUGUCCCUUUGGGGAAAGUGAAAAUGUCAUCAAUUUGAUUGUUGUGAUGACAAGCACAACUGUGUGAAUAAAAGCCCGUUAAAUCACACAAUCAAAGGAAGUGUAGUUUCUAAAUAACGUUUCUAAUUUAUCUUGUUUGGAAAAAAAAUUAACUUCUUCAGGAGGAAGAGAAUAAACGCAGCCCAGAAACAGCUUUUGGUGGCCAGGGUUGGGACGAUCUGUGCUCCCCAUAAGCAAAGGUGGGUGGGACGAGACCCAUGCGAACCCUUCUACUGUCAGCCUCGUUCCUUGCCCAGAAGGCACAGGGUCCGGGCACUGCAGGAGAAAGCAGCAUGAGCAGCAGCACAUGCCAAAGCCCGGGAGAUGCCACCAGGUCCCCUGUGGCUGGAGCACAGCAUGGUGGGAGAAAAAGCAGAUGGGCCACAGAAGGGGCUGCUCAAGGGCAUCGAGACCCCCAGGGAGUUCUGAUCUCAUCCUGGAAGCCGGACAGCGAGGCCCUGGGUGACGUACACGGGACAUGUGCGGGGCGGCUGCCACAGUGUUCCAGGAGGCCGGGCAGCCGCCACGGAUAGCUCCAGUCCCCAAGCUGUGAGCGCACGAGGAAACUGCACUGACGAGGAUGCAGGGAUGGAGAAGCAGCAGCGGCUGGUGGAGGCCUCAGCUGGGCACACAGGGCUUCAUGCACCACGACCCACCAGGGCCAGAACAGGCAACAGGCCGUUGGCUGAGUCACGCUGGCAGGGGGGUGGCAGGUCAAGGUUGAGAUGUGGCCUGAAUUCUGGAAGUGGUGAAGUCUCCCAGGAAGGAGUCUGAGGAGUGGCAGAAAGCCAGAAUUCCGGGGCCCCUUGGGGUGGGUGGGAAGGGAGACCAACACCUAGGCCGCAUGGCCUAGGGCAGGAAGCCGAAGCCCCCGAGGGAGGGAGGGUCAGCGUAAUGCUGGCUGGAGAAAAGCACCCAGGCCUGCUGUGCUGGUGCCUGUGGUUUCUGCUACUCGGGAGGCUGACACAAAAGAAUCCCUUGAGCCCGGGAGGUCAGGGCUGCAGUGAGCUAGGAUGGU
RNAcentral lists this long non-coding RNA (1887 nucleotides) under Homo sapiens (human). Its description in RNAcentral is "HSALNT0384076". Lineage: Eukaryota; Metazoa; Chordata; Mammalia; Primates; Hominidae. The record is from RNAcentral.